UGAUCUCUCUUUUUGCAGGAAUACCCGCUAUCCUGAAGGGAAUCCCUAUGCGCAUAAACAUAUCAAUAAGCGGGAGGAAAUAAGCGGGAGGAAAUGGUUUUAUCCCCCCUCCACCCUCCCACCUUUUUUUACGGUUUUAGAAUUGAUACCGCCGCCCGAUGUCGGGGCCCUCUGAGUGUGCGUCCCCUGUCCCACCCCGAAAAAACAUAAAAUCUAAUCGAUCCAUGAAGGCCGGAGGAGAGUGUCUUGCCAGCGGAUUUUAACUAUUGAAGACGGGCCCCAGAAGCGUCCCGCUAUCAUGCAACUAAAACCAUGGCCCUGCUAACACCUCAGGGGGAAAGUCCUUACCGUCGCUGUUCAGCUCGGCUAUUAAACCCGUAUCGUAACUCGGGGCGGUUCUCUGUGGAUUUGCCUUUUCAAUCCACUUUUGUCAGCGUUAGUAGGCUGUGAUUGCAAGUCUCGCCC
RNAcentral lists this ribosomal RNA (465 nucleotides) under Colletotrichum sp. P1BL1a. RNAcentral describes it as "Glomerella sp. P1BL1a partial 28S ribosomal RNA". Lineage: Eukaryota; Fungi; Ascomycota; Sordariomycetes; Glomerellales; Glomerellaceae. The record is from RNAcentral.